GACUCGUCACACUAUCAUUAACUGAAUCCAUAGGUUAAUGAGGCGAACCGGGGGAACUGAAACAUCUAAGUACCCCGAGGAAAAGAAAUCAACCGAGAUUCCCCCAGUAGCGGCGAGCGAACGGGGAGGAGCCCAGAGCCUGAAUCAGCAUGUGUGUUAGUGGAAGCGUCUGGAAAGGCGCGCGAUACAGGGUGACAGCCCCGUACACAAAAGCGCAUGUGCUGUGAGCUCGAUGAGUAGGGCGGGACACGUGGUAUCCUGUCUGAAUAUGGGGGGACCAUCCUCCAAGGCUAAAUACUCCUGACUGACCGAUAGUGAACCAGUACCGUGAGGGAAAGGCGAAAAGAACCCCGGCGAGGGGAGUGAAAAAGAACCUGAAACCGUGUACGUACAAGCAGUGGGAGCACCCUUUGGGGUGUGACUGCGUACCUUUUGUAUAAUGGGUCAGCGACUUAUAUUCUGUAGCAAGGUUAACCGUAUAGGGGAGCCGGAGGGAAACCGAGUCUUAAUUGGGCGUUAAGUUGCAGGGUAUAGACCCGAAACCCGGUGAUCUAGCCAUGGGCAGGUUGAAGGUUGGGUAACACUAACUGGAGGACCGAACCGACUAAUGUUGAAAAAUUAGCGGAUGACCUGUGGCUGGGGGUGAAAGGCCAAUCAAACCGGGAGAUAGCUGGUUCUCCCCGAAAGCUAUUUAGGUAGCGCCUCGUGAAUUCAUCUCCGGGGGUAGAGCACUGUUUCGGCUAGGGGGCCAUCCCGGCUUACCAACCCGAUGCAAACUGCGAAUACCGGAGAAUGUUAUCACGGGAGACACACGGCGGGUGCUAACGUCCGUCGUGAAGAGGGAAACAACCCAGACCGCCAGCUAAGGUCCCAAAGUCAUGGUUAAGUGGGAAACGAUGUGGGAAGGCCCAGACAGCCAGGAUGUUGGCUUAGAAGCAGCCAUCAUUUAAAGAAAGCGUAAUAGCUCACUGGUCGAGUCGGCCUGCGCGGAAGAUGUAACGGGGCUAAACCAUGCACCGAAGCUGCGGCAGCGACACUCAGGUGUUGUUGGGUAGGGGAGCGUUCUGUAAGCCUGUGAAGGUGGCCUGUGAGGGUUGCUGGAGGUAUCAGAAGUGCGAAUGCUGACAUAAGUAACGAUAAAGCGGGUGAAAAGCCCGCUCGCCGGAAGACCAAGGGUUCCUGUCCAACGUUAAUCGGGGCAGGGUGAGUCGACCCCUAAGGCGAGGCCGAAAGGCGUAGUCGAUGGGAAACGGGUUAAUAUUCCCGUACUUGGUGUUACUGCGAAGGGGGGACGGAGAAGGCUAUGUUGGCCGGGCGACGGUUGUCCCGGUUUAAGCGUGUAGGUGUGUGUUCCAGGUAAAUCCGGUUCACUUUAACACUGAGGCGUGAUGACGAGGCACUACGGUGCUGAAGCAACAAAUGCCCUGCUUCCAGGAAAAGCCUCUAAGCAUCAGGUAACAUCAAAUCGUACCCCAAACCGACACAGGUGGUCAGGUAGAGAAUACCAAGGCGCUUGAGAGAACUCGGGUGAAGGAACUAGGCAAAAUGGUGCCGUAACUUCGGGAGAAGGCACGCUGACACGUAGGUGAAGUGAUUUACUCAUGGAGCUGAAGUCAGUCGAAGAUACCAGCUGGCUGCAACUGUUUAUUAAAAACACAGCACUGUGCAAACACGAAAGUGGACGUAUACGGUGUGACGCCUGCCCGGUGCCGGAAGGUUAAUUGAUGGGGUCAGCGCAAGCGAAGCUCCUGAUCGAAGCCCCGGUAAACGGCGGCCGUAACUAUAACGGUCCUAAGGUAGCGAAAUUCCUUGUCGGGUAAGUUCCGACCUGCACGAAUGGCGUAAUGAUGGCCAGGCUGUCUCCACCCGAGACUCAGUGAAAUUGAACUCGCUGUGAAGAUGCAGUGUACCCGCGGCAAGACGGAAAGACCCCGUGAACCUUUACUAUAGCUUGACACUGAACAUUGAGCCUUGAUGUGUAGGAUAGGUGGGAGGCUUUGAAGUGUGGACGCCAGUCUGCAUGGAGCCGACCUUGAAAUACCACCCUUUAAUGUUUGAUGUUCUAACGUGGACCCGUGAUCCGGGUUGCGGACAGUGUCUGGUGGGUAGUUUGACUGGGGCGGUCUCCUCCUAAAGAGUAACGGAGGAGCACGAAGGUUGGCUAAUCCUGGUCGGACAUCAGGAGGUUAGUGCAAUGGCAUAAGCCAGCUUGACUGCGAGCGUGACGGCGCGAGCAGGUGCGAAAGCAGGUCAUAGUGAUCCGGUGGUUCUGAAUGGAAGGGCCAUCGCUCAACGGAUAAAAGGUACUCCGGGGAUAACAGGCUGAUACCGCCCAAGAGUUCAUAUCGACGGCGGUGUUUGGCACCUCGAUGUCGGCUCAUCACAUCCUGGGGCUGAAGUAGGUCCCAAGGGUAUGGCUGUUCGCCAUUUAAAGUGGUACGCGAGCUGGGUUUAGAACGUCGUGAGACAGUUCGGUCCCUAUCUGCCGUGGGCGCUGGAGAACUGAGGGGGGCUGCUCCUAGUACGAGAGGACCGGAGUGGACGCAUCACUGGUGUUCGGGUUGUCAUGCCAAUGGCACUGCCCGGUAGCUAAAUGCGGAAGAGAUAAGUGCUGAAAGCAUCUAAGCACGAAACUUGCCCCGA
Molecule: ribosomal RNA, 2643 nt
Filed under: Salmonella enterica subsp. enterica serovar Ank
Lineage: Bacteria; Pseudomonadati; Pseudomonadota; Gammaproteobacteria; Enterobacterales; Enterobacteriaceae
Description: partial 23S ribosomal RNA
Rfam family: Bacterial large subunit ribosomal RNA
Source: RNAcentral